CACGCUGUAAACGAUGAGUGCUAGUUGUCGGCAUGCAUGCAUGUCGGUGACGCAGCUAACGCAUUAAGCACUCCGCCUGGGGAGUNCGACGCGCAGAACCUUACCACCUUUUGACAUGCCUGGACCGCCGGAGAGAUCCGGUUUUCCCUUCGGGGACUAGGACACAGGUGC
RNAcentral lists this ribosomal RNA (171 nucleotides) under uncultured bacterium. RNAcentral describes it as "partial 16S ribosomal RNA". The stretch from base 1 to 77 matches the Rfam family "Bacterial small subunit ribosomal RNA", at positions 796 to 873 of the family's 1533-position model. The record is from RNAcentral.